UACGUAGGGUCCGAGCGUUGUCCGGAAUUAUUGGGCGUAAAGGGCUCGUAGGCGGUUUGUCGCGUCGGGAGUGAAAACACGGGGCUUAACCCCGUGCCUGCUUCCGAUACGGGCAGACUAGAGGUAUGCAGGGGAGAACGGAAUUCCUGGUGUAGCGGUGAAAUGCGCAGAUAUCAGGAGGAACACCGGUGGCGAAGGCGGUUCUCUGGGCAUUACCUGACGCUGAGGAGCGAAAUUGUGGGGAGCGAACAGG
Molecule: ribosomal RNA, 253 nt
Filed under: uncultured bacterium
Lineage: Bacteria
Description: partial 16S ribosomal RNA
Rfam family: Bacterial small subunit ribosomal RNA
Source: RNAcentral